RNAcentral lists this ribosomal RNA (496 nucleotides) under uncultured bacterium. RNAcentral describes it as "partial 16S ribosomal RNA". It matches the Rfam family "Bacterial small subunit ribosomal RNA", at positions 29 to 507 of the family's 1533-position model. The record is from RNAcentral.
AUGAACGCUGGCGGCGUGCCUAAUACAUGCAAGUCGAGCGAACAGAUAAGGAGCUUGCUCCUUUGACGUUAGCGGCGGACGGGUGAGUAACACGUGGGAAACCUACCUAUAAGACUGGGAUAACUUCGGGAAACCGGAGCUAAUACCGGAUAAUAUUUCGAACCGCAUGGUUCGAUAGUGAAAGAUGGUUUUGCUAUCACUGAUAGAUGGACCCGCGCCGUAUUAGCUAGUUGGUAAGGUAACGGCUUACCAAGGCGACGAUACGUAGCCGACCUGAGAGGGUGAUCGGCGACACUGGAACUGAGACACGGUCCAGACUACUACGGGAGGCAGCAGUAGGGAAUCGUCCGCAAUGGGCGAAAGCCUGACGGAGCAACGCGGCGUGAGUGAUGAAGGUCUUCGGAUCGUAAAACUCUGUUAUUAGGGAAGAACAUACGUGUAAGUAACUGUGCACGUCUUGACGGUACCUAAUCAGAAAGCCACGGCUAACUACGUG